Long non-coding RNA from Capsicum annuum, 1054 nucleotides. RefSeq lists it as uncharacterized. The transcript is spliced from 2 exons. The record is from RefSeq and is a predicted model, not a curated record. Lineage: Eukaryota; Viridiplantae; Streptophyta; Magnoliopsida; Solanales; Solanaceae.
GCCUAAUUUAUUCAUCCUUUAAACCCAAUUUAUUCCAUUUCUUACAAUGUUAGCCUAAUUUUAUUUGAUCCAUUACAAUUAUGACCAAAUUGUGAUCUUUAUUUCAAUUUUAAUCAACUUCUCAACCUUUAGAUCUCAACCAUCGAUCAAAAAAUGAUCUGACGACUAAGAUCAAAUUAUCCAUCCCUUUCUUUAUGAAAAAACAAACAAAAAUCCUAGAUCUAAAACAUUUUCCAAACCAGCCGCCCCUCCUUUCGCCCUCUUCUUUUUCUCCAAACCUAUCUAAACCACCAUUUCUGACCAUCUUCCAAUCGAAGAUCCCCAUCUCCUUGCUAGCCAUAACCAACGCCGGACAUGAUGAAGAAAACCGUGAGCCUCCUUCCACCAAUCGUCGCGGCAUAAUAGCCAUGCAGCUAGCGAGGCCAGCCACCAGCGCCGCCUCCCAUCGAGUCAGCAAUCCUAGCACCGACCACUAUCCGCCACAUCUAUCACUGGUCGGUGGAAGUUGCACCCGCAGGAACCCGCCAACUUCAAGAAGCUUUGACAAAGACGAGCAUCUCGUAUGGCUCAUCAGUGACUUCCCGUGGCUGAGAUCGAGUUAACUGAGGAGUUAUCUAAUGAAGACAAGGCAAAAUUCUGACACAUGCGACUGGUUCAUAUGAGCGCACGAGGACUGGAGAUGCUAAGCAACCAUAACCUUUUGAAUAGUGAGAUAAUCAGCACACGUGAAUUGUAAGUGCAUUGCAUCCUAGCAAAGCAGAAAACGAUCUGCUUCAACACUUGCAAGCACAAGACAGAAAGGGUGCUAGAAUACAUCCAUUCAGAUUUAUAGAGUCCUUUUAAGUUUCCAUCAUAUGGAGGAAAGAGAUAUUUUCUUACAUUAAUUGAUAAUCUUUCACAAAAGAUUUAGGUACAUUUCUUGAAGUCAAAAAGUGAAGUAAUUUAAGCAUUUAAAUAGUAGAAUAUAUUGGUUGAGAAUCAAAUUGAGUUGAAACUCAAUUAUAUUAACAUAUACAGUAGCUUGAAGUUUUGUAGUGAAGAGUUUAAUAAUUUC